UUGGAGAGUUUGAUUGUGGCUCAGAACGAACGCUGGCGGCGUGCCUAAUACAUGCAAGUCGAACGUGAAAAGGGGCAACCCUUAGUAAAGUGGCGCACGGGUGAGUAACACGUGGGUUAUC
RNAcentral lists this ribosomal RNA (121 nucleotides) under Bdellovibrionales bacterium. Its description in RNAcentral is "partial 16S ribosomal RNA". It matches the Rfam family "Bacterial small subunit ribosomal RNA", at positions 1 to 126 of the family's 1533-position model. The record is from RNAcentral. Lineage: Bacteria; Pseudomonadati; Bdellovibrionota; Bdellovibrionia; Bdellovibrionales.